Sebastes umbrosus (honeycomb rockfish) is the source of this 212-nucleotide long non-coding RNA. RefSeq lists it as uncharacterized. Lineage: Eukaryota; Metazoa; Chordata; Actinopteri; Perciformes; Sebastidae. The record is from RefSeq and is a predicted model, not a curated record. The transcript has 3 exons.
CUUUGUGUUUAAUUUUUUCUUCUUUUAGACAAACUGCGUGACACAUUUUCUUUUAUUUGACAAUACAGGACAUGUUUUAAAGACUGGCACACGACCAAAGUUCAACAGAAAUGAUCUCAGAGUUUGCUCUUCUGGCCUCAACACGUACGUUUGUUUUUUUAAGCUACAGUAACAUCAUUAAAAACAACCUGUAACUGAAAUGUUGGACACUU